CCUACGGGGGGCAGCAGUGGGGAAUAUUGGGCAAUGGGCGCAAGCCUGACCCAGCAACGCCGCGUGAGGGAAGAAGGCUUUCGGGUUGUAAACCUCUUUUGACAGGGAAGAGUAGAAGACGGUACCUGCCGAAUAAGCCACGGCUAACUACGUGCCAGCAGCCGCGGUAUUACGUAGGUGGGAAGCGUUGUCCGGAUUUACUGGGUGUAAAGGGAGUGUAGCCGGGUAUACAAGUCAGAUGUGAAAUCCCGCGGCUUAACCGCAGAACUGCAUUUGAAACUGUUGAUCUUGAGUGCUGGAGAGGCAGGCGGAAUUCCUGGUGUAGCGGUGAAAUGCGUAGAUAUUAGGAGGAACACCAGUGGCGAAGGCGGUCUGCUGGACAGCAACUGACGGUGAGGCGCGAAAGCGUGGGGAGCAAACAGGAUUAGAUACCCGAGUAGUC
RNAcentral lists this ribosomal RNA (442 nucleotides) under uncultured bacterium. RNAcentral describes it as "partial 16S ribosomal RNA". It matches the Rfam family "Bacterial small subunit ribosomal RNA", at positions 338 to 795 of the family's 1533-position model. The record is from RNAcentral.